This 404-nucleotide ribosomal RNA is filed under the name uncultured bacterium. Its description in RNAcentral is "bacterial SSU rRNA". It matches the Rfam family "Bacterial small subunit ribosomal RNA", at positions 362 to 758 of the family's 1533-position model. The record is from RNAcentral.
UUUUGGACAAUGGGCGCAAGCCUGAUCCAGCCAUUCCGCGUGAGUGAAGAAGGCCUUCGGGUUGUAAAGCUCUUUCGCAAGGGAAGAAAACUUACUUUCUAAUAAAGAGUGAGGUUGACGGUACCUUGAUAAGAAGCACCGGCUAACUACGUGCCAGCAGCCGCGGUAAUACGUAGGGUGCGAGCGUUAAUCGGAAUUACUGGGCGUAAAGCGCGCGCAGGCGGCUUUGUAAGUCAGAUGUGAAAUCCCCGAGCUCAACUUGGGAACUGCGUUUGAAACUACAAGGCUAGAAUAUGUCAGAGGGGGGUAGAAUUCCACGUGUAGCAGUGAAAUGCGUAGAGAUGUGGAGGAAUACCAAUGGCGAAGGCAGCCCCCUGGGAUAAUAUUGACGCUCAUGCACGAAA